UUGCCAGCCCGCUCAGAAACUUAAAUGAAUUGACGGGGCCCGCACAAGCGGUGAGUAUGUGGUUUAAUUCGAUGCAACGCGAAGAACUUACCUGGUCUUGACAUCCCGGAGACCCUUAGGAAACUAGGGGGUGCUUCCAUCUGGAAGAAUCUGGGGACAGGUGCUGCAUGGCUGUCGUCAGCUCGUGUCGUGAGAUGUUGGGUUAAGUCCCGCAACGAGCGCAACCCUUGCCUUUAGUUGCCAGCAGUUCGGCUGGGCACUCUAAAGGGACUGCCGGUGUUAAACCGGAGGAAGGUGGGGAUGACGUCAAGUCCUCAUGGCCUUUAUGACCAGGGCUACACACGUACUACAAUGGCCGAUACAAAGGGCAGCGACACUGCGAGGUGAAGCCAAUCCCGUAAAAUCGGUCUCAGUCCGGAUUGGAGUCUGCAACUCGACUCCAUGAAGUUGGAAUCGCUAGUAAUCGUGGAUCAGCAUGCCACGGUGAAUAUGUUCCCGGGCCUU
This 504-nucleotide ribosomal RNA is filed under the name uncultured Desulfobulbus sp. RNAcentral describes it as "bacterial SSU rRNA". It matches the Rfam family "Bacterial small subunit ribosomal RNA", at positions 903 to 1382 of the family's 1533-position model. Lineage: Bacteria; Pseudomonadati; Thermodesulfobacteriota; Desulfobulbia; Desulfobulbales; Desulfobulbaceae. The record is from RNAcentral.